AGAAAUGUACAAACGAGCAAUAAGGGAACAGUGAAAUUAGAUGAU
This 45-nucleotide unclassified non-coding RNA is filed under the name Trypanosoma brucei. Its description in RNAcentral is "partial gCR3[73A]". The record is from RNAcentral. Lineage: Eukaryota; Euglenozoa; Kinetoplastea; Trypanosomatida; Trypanosomatidae.